RNAcentral lists this ribosomal RNA (273 nucleotides) under uncultured bacterium. RNAcentral's name for it is "partial 16S ribosomal RNA". It matches the Rfam family "Bacterial small subunit ribosomal RNA", at positions 524 to 796 of the family's 1533-position model. The record is from RNAcentral.
UACGUAGGGUGCGAGCGUUGUCCGGAAUUAUUGGGCGUAAAGGGCUCGUAGGCGGUUUGUCGCGUCGGGAGUGAAAACUCAGGGCUUAACCCUGAGCCUGCUUCCGAUACGGGCAGACUAGAGGUAUGCAGGGGAGAACGGAAUUCCUGGUGUAGCGGUGAAAUGCGCAGAUAUCAGGAGGAACACCGGUGGCGAAGGCGGUUCUCUGGGCAUUACCUGACGCUGAGGAGCGAAAGUGUGGGGAGCGAACAGGAUUAGAUACCCCCGUAGUCC